GAUGAACGCUGGCGGCGUGCUUAACACAUGCAAGUCGAACGAGCUUUAUUACUACGAUCCUCUUCGGAGGUGACGGUUUUAAAGCGAGUGGCGGACGGGUGAGUAACGCGUGGGCAACCUGCCGUGUACCGGGGGAUAACAGCUGGAAACAGCUGCUAAUACCGCAUAACACCUCAGUGUCACAUGACACAGGGGCCAAAACUCCGGUGGUAUACGAUGGGCCCGCGUCUGAUUAGCUAGUUGGUGGGGUAACGGCCCACCAAGGCGACGAUCAGUAGCCGGUCUGAGAGGAUGAACGGCCACAUUGGGACUGAGACACGGCCCAAACUCCUACGGGAGGCAGCAGUGGGGAAUCUUCCGCAAUGGGCGCAAGCCUGACGGAGCAACGCCGCGUGAGUGAAGAAGGUUUUCGGAUCGUAAAGCUCUGUUGAGAGGGACGAGAGGCAAGGCUAGGAAAUGAGCUUUGUAGGACGGUACCUUUCGAGGAAGCCACGGCUAACUACGUGCCAGC
This 511-nucleotide ribosomal RNA is filed under the name uncultured bacterium. Its description in RNAcentral is "bacterial SSU rRNA". It matches the Rfam family "Bacterial small subunit ribosomal RNA", at positions 28 to 512 of the family's 1533-position model. The record is from RNAcentral.